Long non-coding RNA from Cyprinus carpio (common carp), 1514 nucleotides. The record is from Ensembl. Lineage: Eukaryota; Metazoa; Chordata; Actinopteri; Cypriniformes; Cyprinidae.
AAAUACAUAACAUCAAUCGGUCAAAGGUGAAUCUAUGAGUGAGAGAUGCAUACCUGACAGCAGAGAGACACACAGCAGCAUGUGAGAGUCUAGUGAAGAGCUCCAGAGACUCACACAUACAGUGUGGGGUUUUCUGGUUACAGAAUCCCAAAUGACUGUAAUGCCACUUUGCUUAUACUUUAUCCAGACCAGAACAAAGAAAUCUUCAAAUCUUUAACACUGUUGCCGAGGGUUGUUUUCCAUGUCCGUGGGUUGAAGCAACUCCAGUAACGUGAUAUUUAGCCCCUGGAAUGUCAUUUUACAGAGCAACCCACCAAAAAACACGUAUUUUACCCCCCGGAAUUCAAUUUGUGUUUUGGGCAAGUUUUGAGUAGCAAUUGGGCGGGUUUUGUUGUGAAAACCUGGCAACCCUGCUGGAGGCUCAAACUUGCUUUUAGACACUUUUGGUUUCAUUUUUACUCAAAUCUCGCUUAACAUGCUGUGCUUUACAAGUUUUGACGCCUGAACAUAAGACUCAUGCAGAAGUUUCACAAUGUUCAGUUGGUUCUGGAAUCUUUUGCUGUUGUUUUGCUGUGUUAUUUAUAGCGAAACCACCUCUAUACUUGUACCAGGAGAAAAAGGAGGCAACGCCACACUGCCUUGUGAAUUAAAGGAUAGAGACAUUUUUAAUGUUAUUUUAAACCGUCAAUCAAAAAACAUCCCUGUUUGUAAGACUGAAAACUGUAGUGGGCGAGCAUUUAAAAUAGGAGCCUGUGACAUUGUCAUCAAGGAUCUGAUCUUCAGUGAUGCUGGGAAGUACAUUAUGAGAGUCUUUUAUGGCAAAGAUCAGACAGAGCUGGAGCAACGAAGGGAGUACAAUCUUCAUAUUCAUGAUGAGACUUUAGUGAAAAUCGGUGAGGAGCUGAAGUUGGAUGUUCUGUUGUCUAAUGCUGAUAAAGUGGAGACAAACUCCAGUGGAGAGUGGAGGGAGGUGUGGAGCAGAACUGAUGGGGUCCUGGAUCAUCAUCUGAAUGACAGUGAUGGAUACCUGACCAUUAAAGGUUUUACAGCCAGUGACACUGGAACAUACAGAGUUCUGGACUCUAAAGGAGAAACCUUGAUCACAGUCACAGUCAGAGAAUAUAGUACAGAAUAUAAGAAAAAGCGGGAUGGUGACAAUGAUACAAAUUAUAGUAAGUAAACAGGAGGCAUUAAGAGCUUUAUAAAAUCUUUAAACAGUUUAAAAAAAAAAAAAAAAACAUUUUAAAAAUUGUUUUCUCUUCUCCCUCGCCCCUUCCAGCUGUACUGUAUGUCGUGCUGUCUGUGGUGUUGGGGGUCCCGGUUCUGGUUCUGAUUACAUUUGUUUUCGUCAAGAAACUGCACAGGAACCCAGAACAUGAUCCCGACCAGAGGGUCCCACUGCAGGACAGGAUCCCAGAACAUGAUCCCCACCAGAGGGCCCCACUGCAGGACAGGAACCCAGAACAUGAUCCCGACCAGAGGGUCCCGUAGCAAUAAAUUAUCCUGGAAGCCCA